AUUGAACGCUAACGGCGUGCUUAACACAUGCAAGUCGAGCGGCAGCAUGACCUGUAGCAAUACAGAUUGAUGGCGAGCGGCGGACGGGUGAGUAACGCAUAGGAAUCUGCCUUGUAGUGGGGGAUAACCCGGGGAAACUCGGGCUAAUACCGCAUAAUCUCUACGGAGCAAAGUGGGGGAUCGUAAGACCUCACGCUAAAAGAUGAGCCUAUGUUAGAUUAGCUAGUUGGUGAGGUAAUGGCUCACCAAGGCGACGAUCCAUAGCUGGUCUGAGAGGAUGAUCAGCCAAACUGGGACUGAGACACGGCCCAGACUCCUACGGGAGGCAGCAGUGGGGAAUAUUGGACAAUGGGCGAAAGCCUGAUCCAGCAACGCCGUGUGUGUGAAGAAGGCCUUCGGGUUGUAAAGCACUUUUAGUUGGGAAGAAAAGCUCAUGGGUAAUAUCCAUGAGUGCUGACGUUACCAACAGAAAAAGCACUGGCUAACUCUGUGCCAGCCGCCGCCGUAA
This 508-nucleotide ribosomal RNA is filed under the name uncultured bacterium. Its description in RNAcentral is "partial 16S ribosomal RNA". It matches the Rfam family "Bacterial small subunit ribosomal RNA", at positions 30 to 523 of the family's 1533-position model. The record is from RNAcentral.